Long non-coding RNA from Salarias fasciatus (jewelled blenny), 279 nucleotides. RefSeq lists it as uncharacterized. The record is from RefSeq and is a predicted model, not a curated record. The transcript is spliced from 2 exons. Lineage: Eukaryota; Metazoa; Chordata; Actinopteri; Blenniiformes; Blenniidae.
GGACGAGCUGCAGCCUUCCAAAGAACGGCAACAACCUCACCAAAUUCACCAGGUGGACGGAGAUGCUGGUGGGACGAAGGAUGAGGAAACCCUGUCAAAGUCUCCUCCUCAUCCUGGAGCUGUGUGGAGGCCAGCUUUACACCUUCUGCUGUGUUUUCUCUUAUUCACUUUCAUGCAGUGUUAUUUUCGACAAACUCUUGUCAGUUCCUGAAUGAUUUUAUUGCAGAAUAUCAUUGUCAACAAAGAUUCUAUUUUUGUAUUAAACUGUUUCAAACUCAA